Molecule: ribosomal RNA, 300 nt
Filed under: Triticum aestivum (bread wheat)
Lineage: Eukaryota; Viridiplantae; Streptophyta; Magnoliopsida; Poales; Poaceae
Description: partial small subunit ribosomal RNA
Source: RNAcentral
CCUGUUGCAUACUUUUCUGAAAAAAUGAGUGGGCCUACUCUGAACUAUUCUACUUAUGAUAAAGAAUUAUAUGCUCUUGUUCGGACUUUAGAAACAUGGCAACAUUAUUUAUGGCCCAAAGAAUUUGUUAUACAUUCUGAUCAUGAAUCUUUAAAACAUAUUAAAAGUCAAGCUAAACUGAAUCGUAGACAUGCUAAAUGGGUUGAAUUCAUUGAGACUUUCCCUUAUGUCAUUAAACACAAGAAGGGAAAAGAAAAUGUUAUUGCUGAUGCAUUGUCUCGUCGCUAUACUAUGCUUUCA